This 230-nucleotide long non-coding RNA is filed under the name Setaria italica (foxtail millet). RNAcentral's name for it is "long non-coding RNA (SITA_LNC003889)". Lineage: Eukaryota; Viridiplantae; Streptophyta; Magnoliopsida; Poales; Poaceae. The record is from RNAcentral.
UGAAAACUAACGGUAAUGGCACACAAGGGAGUGGAAAUUAGAAUUGACGGAAGUGAAGGGAGUCUUUAAAUUUGGAUGGCAAAUAGGGGAUUGUUAUAAAUUCCGAUAGCAUACAUGAAAUUUACUUUUUUUUUUCCGGCCGAGAUUGAAGCCGCCUACUGCCGUAGGCUGCUGUUUGCGUCGUUGCUUUUGUUGAGCAGCAACAGCAUAGCCUGCCUGCUCAGUCUGGC